UGCAGCCUUCGUGAUCUACAAUUUCCUCAGCCUGUGUUAUGAGUACCUGGGAGGAGAGAGUGCUAUAAUGUCGGAGAUUCGAGGCAAGUCCAUCGAGUCCAGCUGUAUGUACGGUACAUGCUGUCUCUGGGGGAAGACGUACUCCAUUGGAUUUCUACGCUUCUGUAAACAGGCCACCCUCCAGUUCUGUGUGGUGAAACCGCUGAUGGCCAUUAUCACCGUCAUCCUCCAGGCUUUUGGCAAGUACAAGGACGGAGACUUCAA
Rhincodon typus (whale shark) is the source of this 264-nucleotide RNA transcript. RefSeq lists it as uncharacterized. Lineage: Eukaryota; Metazoa; Chordata; Chondrichthyes; Orectolobiformes; Rhincodontidae. The transcript has 3 exons. The record is from RefSeq and is a predicted model, not a curated record.